RNAcentral lists this ribosomal RNA (274 nucleotides) under uncultured bacterium. RNAcentral's name for it is "partial 16S ribosomal RNA". It matches the Rfam family "Bacterial small subunit ribosomal RNA", at positions 523 to 796 of the family's 1533-position model. The record is from RNAcentral.
AUACGGAGGGGGCUAGCGUUGUUCGGAAUUACUGGGCGUAAAGCGUACGUAGGCGGACUGAUCAGUUGGGGGUGAAAUCCCAGGGCUUAACCCUGGAACUGCCUUCAAUACUGUCAGUCUUGAGAUUGGAAGAGGUGAGUGGAAUUCCUAGUGUAGAGGUGAAAUUCAUAGAUAUUAGGAGGAACACCAGUGGCGAAGGCGGCUCACUGGUCCAAUACUGACGCUGAGGUACGAAAGCGUGGGGAGCAAACAGGAUUAGAAACACUAGUAGUCC